GGUGGACAUUAUCGGCGCAUGGGUUGUCGCCGCCAGUAGCGUCGCCAUACCCGCCAGCCCCAAUAAAAUUGCUAUUUCUCCUGACUGACCGAUAGUGAACCAGUACCGUGAGGGAAAGGCGAAAAGAACCCCGGCGAGGGGAGUGAAAAAGAACCUGAAACCGUGUACGUACAAGCAGUGGGAGCACCCUUUGGGGUGUGACUG
This 204-nucleotide ribosomal RNA is filed under the name Salmonella enterica subsp. enterica serovar Montevideo. Its description in RNAcentral is "partial 23S ribosomal RNA". It matches the Rfam family "Bacterial large subunit ribosomal RNA", at positions 349 to 599 of the family's 2925-position model. Lineage: Bacteria; Pseudomonadati; Pseudomonadota; Gammaproteobacteria; Enterobacterales; Enterobacteriaceae. The record is from RNAcentral.